This 154-nucleotide small nucleolar RNA is filed under the name Arabidopsis thaliana (thale cress). RNAcentral's name for it is "small nucleolar RNA SnoR79-2". Lineage: Eukaryota; Viridiplantae; Streptophyta; Magnoliopsida; Brassicales; Brassicaceae. The record is from RNAcentral.
GUUUGGACUGUUACAUCUCUGGUAUAGAAAAGAGAGAGAAGGAAAGGCUUUUUGAUGGUUUCCAUCUUUAGGUUUGGAUGUCUCUUUCAAGGUGCUCAUCGUUUGCUUGGUCAUCUUUGUUACGUGAUGACUUGGCUCCAUUUGUUCAUCACAG